This 127-nucleotide small RNA is filed under the name Marmota monax (woodchuck). Lineage: Eukaryota; Metazoa; Chordata; Mammalia; Rodentia; Sciuridae. The record is from RNAcentral.
GCUGGGCGCAGUGAUGCAUGCCUGUAAUCCCAGCACCUCAGGAGGCUGAGGCAGGAAGAUCGAAAGUUCAAAGGCAGCCUCAGCAACUUAGCAAGGCCCUAAGCAACUUAGCAAGACCCUGUCUCUA